RNAcentral lists this ribosomal RNA (229 nucleotides) under uncultured bacterium. RNAcentral describes it as "partial 16S ribosomal RNA". It matches the Rfam family "Bacterial small subunit ribosomal RNA", at positions 568 to 796 of the family's 1533-position model. The record is from RNAcentral.
CUCGUAGGCGGUUUCGUAAGUCGGAUGUGAAAGCCCUAGGCUUAACCAAGAAAGUGCAUUCGAAACUGUGAGACUUGAGUAUGGGAGAGGGUUGUGGAAUUCCCGGUGUAGAGGUGAAAUUCGUAGAUAUCGGGAGGAACACCAGAGGCGAAGGCGACAACCUGGACCAAUACUGACGCUGAGGAGCGAAAGCGUGGGGAGCAAACAGGAUUAGAUACCCUGGUAGUCC